Eurytemora carolleeae is the source of this 481-nucleotide long non-coding RNA. RefSeq lists it as uncharacterized. Lineage: Eukaryota; Metazoa; Arthropoda; Copepoda; Calanoida; Temoridae. The record is from RefSeq and is a predicted model, not a curated record. The transcript has 6 exons.
UUAUCUCUAAAUAGUUCCUGAAUAAAGUAAAAUAUUCUUGUUGUAGACCCUCUGUUAAAAAGUGUUGGUCCAGUUUGUGAAGGAUUUUUCAACUGGCUCAGUUGUGAGGAGGGACUUAAUUUGGAGAUUCAGAGUGUCUAUUUUGGUCGUAAAGACAAAACUGUUUGUCCGGUUCCUCAGAAUUUAGUUCGAGCUGCCAGUCUUGUCAAACCUAUAAAAAAUGAUGACUGUGCUUAUGAGCGUGCACUUGAAGAUCUGCAGAGGUUCUGUUGGGGAAAGAGAAUCUGCUAUGUGAACACUAAUGUUGUAGCAAGGUAUGGACCAUUCUAUGAGAAUCCUUGUGAGCACCUAAACCCUUAUGUCCUGGUGGAGUAUGUAUGUAAACCAGUUUAUCAACAAAAUAACUUUCCAAAUUAUUUUAAUAUAUAAUCAGGAACUCUUCUUGAGAUUGUAAUCAUUUGGAAUAAAGGAAAAUUUCUUA